AUUGAACGCUGGCGGCAUGCCUUACACAUGCAAGUCGAACGGCAGCACGGGUGCUUGCCCCUGGUGGCGAGUGGCGAACGGGUGAGUAAUACAUCGGAACAUGUCCUGUAGUGGGGGAUAGCCCGGCGAAAGCCGGAUUAAUACCGCAUACGAUCUACGGAUGAAAGCGGGGUACCUUCGGGCCUCGCGCUAUAGGGUUGGCCGAUGGCUGAUUAGCUAGUUGGUGGGGUAAAGGCCUACCAAGGCGACGAUCAGUAGCUGGUCUGAGAGGACGACCAGCCACACUGGGACUGAGACACGGCCCAGACUCCUACGGGAGGCAGCAGUGGGGAAUUUUGGACAAUGGGCGAAAGCCUGAUCCAGCAAUGCCGCGUGUGUGAAGAAGGCCUUCGGGUUGUAAAGCACUUUUGUCCGGAAAGAAAUCCUUGGCCCUAAUACGGUCGGGGGAUGACGGUACCGGAAGAAUAAGCACCGGCUAACUACGUG
RNAcentral lists this ribosomal RNA (486 nucleotides) under uncultured bacterium. Its description in RNAcentral is "partial 16S ribosomal RNA". It matches the Rfam family "Bacterial small subunit ribosomal RNA", at positions 30 to 507 of the family's 1533-position model. The record is from RNAcentral.